GCAAGUCGAACGAACCUUCGGGUUAGUGGCGGACGGGUGAGUAACGCGUGGGAAUCUGCCCUCAGGAGGGGGAUAACGGCUGGAAACGGCCGCUAAUACCCCAUAUGCCGAGAGGUGAAAUGAAUUUCGCCUGAGGAUGAGCCCGCGUCUGAUUAGCUAGUUGGUGGGGUAAAGGCCUACCAAGGCGACGAUCAGUAUCUGGUUUGAGAGGACGAUC
Molecule: ribosomal RNA, 217 nt
Filed under: uncultured bacterium
Lineage: Bacteria
Description: partial 16S ribosomal RNA
Rfam family: Bacterial small subunit ribosomal RNA
Source: RNAcentral